GAUGCGUAGCAUAGUGGUAGUGUGUUGUUGUUGCCUGUUGGAGGUUGUGGGUUCAAUCCCCCUCGGCACCC
RNAcentral lists this transfer RNA (71 nucleotides) under Hordeum vulgare. Its description in RNAcentral is "tRNA-OTHER". The record is from RNAcentral. Lineage: Eukaryota; Viridiplantae; Streptophyta; Magnoliopsida; Poales; Poaceae.